AGUGUUUGACAUUUGUGUUUCCACAGCAUGUUGAGCAGUCACUAGGCUCAGCCCAGAAGGGUACGGGAUGCAGAACCUGCAGCGCCACCUCUUGUGGCCUGCUGCUUUCAGAGUGGCAAGUUGCUGGAACAUCCCGAUCCCAUCUCAGAUAUAUCGUAUAUGCUCCUCAGGAGGCUCCACGGGAGGCCUGCAACACCCAUGCAUGAGCACCAGAAACCUCUGAUGUUGAGCACUUUAGCCUCAAUCCUGUCCACACCGUCCCUGAGAUACAUGUGAACAGUAUGAUUGGCAAUUCAUACUGUGCAUGGGAUGCUUGAACACCGAAAAGGGAGAACACACCUGCAGAAGUGUAAAGACGGUGACCAGCAUAUGACUUCCGCUGAUGGCGAACUACUUGUCUUUGGCAUCAGACCGCUCACGAUCAGGCUUCAGCUUGCCAAUCCAUCUCGAAAGAGCAUCCCCCACAACAUUGGCCUCCAUUCCCUGCAGCAGGUCAGUUAUGUGCUUUGAGGCUAGCACAGUCAUGGCCCAUCCGUCACUGAGCUGAAUGCCAAUAAUGUAGCUGAUGACGCUUACCCGUUCCUUCCUGUAACAGUCCCAGAAGGCUUCGUGUUGCUCCUUGCAGUUCCAGCCGAAGAGCGAGCUCUCCUUGAAGCAUAGCAGCAGUGCUUCUGCAAUACAUCAAAGCACGUGGGAUUUUUUAUACUGUCAUGGUGAUUCGCUUGCAUGCAGCAUAAUAAUGGCAUAUAGUAUCAUACGAUGGGUUCCAAUAUUGCACAGGGUGUCAUGUCACUGCAUUGACACUGGAAGGCAGUACAUGGAAGGCACUUGGUUCAGCGUGACAUCAUGACAACUCACUGUGCUUCUCUGAGCAAUUUAUGAGAGACUCUUCUUUGGAAGCUAGCUCGGCACGGCCAGCAUCCUCUUCACUGGAAGGUUGCAUUAGGAAGAAGCAGCAGGUCCCCUGGACAGCCACCCUUCUGGCAAUGCACCUUGAUCACUACGUUAUUCAUGGCUCAACGAGCCAUCGAAACAGUUGAUCUAGGAUAAUG
This 1052-nucleotide long non-coding RNA is filed under the name Coccomyxa subellipsoidea. RNAcentral describes it as "long non-coding RNA (CSUB_LNC000222)". The record is from RNAcentral. Lineage: Eukaryota; Viridiplantae; Chlorophyta; Trebouxiophyceae; Coccomyxaceae.